This 310-nucleotide ribosomal RNA is filed under the name uncultured Rhodobacterales bacterium. Its description in RNAcentral is "SSU rRNA". It matches the Rfam family "Bacterial small subunit ribosomal RNA", at positions 40 to 367 of the family's 1533-position model. Lineage: Bacteria; Pseudomonadati; Pseudomonadota; Alphaproteobacteria; Rhodobacterales. The record is from RNAcentral.
CGGUAGGCUUAACACAUGCAAGUCGUGCGAGAAAGUAUCUUCGGAUAUGAGUAGAGCGGCGGACGGGUUAGUAACGCGUGGGAAUAUACCCAGUUCUAAGGAAUAGCCACUGGAAACGGUGAGUAAUACCUUAUACGCCCUUCGGGGGAAAGAUUUAUCGGAAUUGGAUUAGCCCGCGUUAGAUUAGAUAGUUGGUGGGGUAAUGGCCUACCAAGUCUACGAUCUAUAGCUGGUUUUAGAGGAUGAUCAGCAACACUGGGACUGAGACACGGCCCAGACUCCUACGGGAGGCAGCAGUGGGGAAUCUUAG